GGUGCGGGGCGGGGUUCCGGCGCAGUGGCGCCCGCCCAGCCCCGGGGGCAGGGAGAGCCUAGAUUACGGAAGUACCGCGAGCGAGGAGCGCGGAAUCGGGGAGCGUCCGGAGCUAGCUGGAUCCUCUAGGCAGUAAAUUUUGUUGCUGCUCACUGUUUGGGUCCGCACUGCCUUUAAAUCGCGGAGGUCUGCAGCUUCACUCCUGAAGCCAGCGACACCACAAACCCACCGGUAGGAGUAAACAACUCCGGACAAACUCUGGAUGCGCCGCCUUAAAGAACUGUAACGCUCACUGCGAGGGUCUGCGGCUUCAUUCUUGAUGUCAGUGAGACCAAGGAAGGAACAAACUCCGGACGCGCCGACUUUAAGAACUGUAGCACUCACCACGAGGGUCCAGGCGGCUUCGUUUUUGAAGUCAGUGAGACCAAGAACCCACAAAUUACAGACACAGCACUAGGAUGGUGAUGGGAAUCUUUGCAAAUUGUAUCUUCUGUUUGAAAGUGAAGUACUUACCUCAGCAGCAGAAGAAAAAGCUACAAACUGACAUUAAGGAAAAUGGCGGAAAGUUUUCCUUUUCGUUAAAUCCUCAGUGCACACAUAUAAUCUUAGAUAAUGCUGAUGUUCUGAGUCAGUACCAACUGAAUUCUAUCCAAAAGAACCACGUUCAUAUUGCAAACCCAGAUUUUAUAUGGAAAUCUAUCAGAGAAAAGAGACUCUUGGAUGUAAAGAAUUAUGAUCCUUAUAAGCCCCUGGACAUCACACCACCUCCUGAUCAGAAGGCGAGCAGUCCUGAAGUGAAAACAGAAGGUCUAUGCCCGGACAGUGCCACAGAGGAGGAAGACACUGUGGAACUCACUGAGUUUGGUAUGCAGAAUGUUGAAAUUCCUCAUCUUCCUCAAGAUUUUGAAGUUGCAAAAUAUAACACCUUGGAGAAAGUGGGAAUGGAGGGAGGCCAGGAAGCUGUGGUGGUGGAGCUUCAGUGUUCGCGGGACUCCAGGGACUGUCCUUUCCUGAUAUCCUCACACUUCCUCCUGGAUGAUGGCAUGGAGACUAGAAGACAGUUUGCUAUAAAGAAAACCUCUGAAGAUGCAAGUGAAUACUACGAAAAUUACAUUGAAGAACUGAAGAAACAAGGAUUUCUACUAAGAGAACAUUUCACACCUGAAGCAACCCAAUUAGCAUCUGAACAAUUGCAAGCAUUGCUUUUGGAGGAAGUCAUGAAUUCAAGCACUCUGAGCCAAGAGGUGAGCGAUUUAGUAGAGAUGAUUUGGGCAGAGGCCCUGGGCCACCUGGAACACAUGCUUCUCAAGCCAGUGAACAGGAUUAGCCUCAACGAUGUGAGCAAGGCAGAGGGGAUUCUCCUUCUAGUAAAGGCAGCACUGAAAAAUGGAGAAACAGCAGAGCAAUUGCAAAAGAUGAUGACAGAGUUUUACAGACUGAUACCUCACAAAGGCACAAUGCCCGAAGAAGUGAACCUGGGACUAUUGGCUAAGAAAGCAGACCUCUGCCAGCUAAUAAGAGACAUGGUUAAUGUCUGUGAAACUAAUUUGUCCAAACCCAACCCACCAUCCCUGGCCAAAUACCGAGCUUUGAGAUGCAAAAUUGAGCAUGUUGAACAGAAUACUGAAGAAUUUCUCAGGGUUAGAAAAGAGGUUUUGCAGAAUCAUCACAGUAAGAGCCCAGUGGAUGUCUUGCAGAUAUUUAGAGUUGGCAGAGUGAAUGAAACCACAGAGUUUUUGAGCAAACUUGGUAAUGUGAGGCCCUUGUUGCAUGGUUCUCCUGUACGAAACAUCGUGGGAAUCUUGUGUCGAGGGUUGCUUUUACCCAAAGUAGUGGAAGAUCGUGGUGUGCAAAGAACAGACGUCGGAAACCUUGGAAGUGGGAUUUAUUUCAGUGAUUCACUCAGUACAAGUAUCAAGUACUCACACCCGGGAGAGACAGAUGGCACCAGACUCCUGCUCAUUUGUGACGUAGCCCUCGGAAAGUGUAUGGACUUACACGAGAAGAACUUUUCCUUAACUGAAGCACCACCAGGCUACGACAGUGUGCAUGGAGUUUCACAAACAGCCUCUGUCACCACAGACUUUGAGGAUGAUGAAUUUGUUGUCUAUAAAACCAAUCAGGUUAAAAUGAAAUAUAUUGUUAAAUUUUCCAUGCCUGGAGAUCAGAUAAAGGACUUUCAUCCUAGUGAUCAUACUGAAUUAGAGGAAUACAGACCUGAGUUUUCAAAUUUUUCAAAGGUUGAAGAUUACCAGUUACCAGAUGCCAAAACUUCCAGCAGCACCAAGGCCGGCCUCCAGGAUGCCUCUGGGAACUUGGUUCCUCUGGAGGAUGUCCACAUCAAGGGGAGAAUCAUAGACACUGUAGCCCAGGUCAUUGUUUUUCAGACAUACACAAAUAAAAGUCACAUGCCCAUUGAGGCAAAAUAUGUCUUUCCUUUGGAUGACAAGGCCGCUGUGUGUGGCUUCGAAGCCUUCAUCAAUGGGAAGCACAUAGUUGGAGAGAUUAAAGAGAAGGAAGAAGCCCAGCAAGAGUACCGAGAAGCCGUGACCCAGGGCCAUGGCGCUUACCUGAUGAGUCAGGAUGCUCCGGACGUUUUUACUGUAAGUGUUGGAAACUUACCCCCUAAGGCUAAGGUUCUUAUAAAAAUUACCUACAUCACAGAACUCAGCAUCCUGGGCACUGUUGGUGUCUUUUUCAUGCCCGCCACCGUAGCACCCUGGCAACAGGACAAGGCUUUGAAUGAAAACCUUCAGGAUACAGUAGAGAAGAUUUGUAUAAAAGAAAUAGGAACAAAGCAAAGCUUUUCUUUGACUAUGUCUAUUGAGAUGCCGUACGUGAUUGAAUUCAUUUUUAGUGAUACACAUGAACUGAAACAAAAGCGCACAGACUGCAAAGCUGUCAUUAGCACCAUGGAAGGCAGCUCCUUAGACAGCAGUGGAUUUUCUCUCCACAUCGGUUUGUCUGCUGCCUAUCUCCCAAGAAUGUGGGUUGAAAAACAUCCAGAAAAAGAAAGCGAGGCUUGCAUGCUUGUCUUUCAACCCGAUCUCAAUGUCGACCUCCCUGACCUGGCCAAUGAGAGCGAAGUGAUUAUUUGUCUUGACUGCUCCAGUUCCAUGGAGGGUGUGACAUUCUUGCAAGCCAAGCAAAUCGCCUUGCAUGUGCUGUCCUUGGUGGGUGAGAAGCAGAAAGUAAAUAUUAUCCAGUUCGGCACAGGUUACAAGGAGCUAUUUUCGUAUCCUAAGCAUAUGACAAGCAAUACCGCGGCAGCAGAGUUCAUCAUGUCUGCCACACCUACCAUGGGGAACACAGACUUCUGGAAAACACUCCGAUAUCUUAGCUUAUUGUACCCUGCUCGAGGGUCACGGAACAUCCUCCUGGUGUCUGAUGGGCACCUCCAGGAUGAGAGCCUGACAUUACAGCUCGUGAAGAGGAGCCGCCCCCACACCAGGUUAUUCGCCUGCGGUAUCGGUUCUACAGCAAAUCGUCACAUCUUAAGGAUUUUGUCCCAGUGUGGUGCCGGAGUAUUUGAAUAUUUUAAUGCAAAAUCCAAGCAUAGUUGGAGAAAACAGAUAGAAGACCAAAUGACCAGGCUAUGUUCUCCGAGUUGCCACUCUGUCUCCGUCAAAUGGCAGCAACUCAAUCCAGAUGCGCCCGAGGCCCUGCAGGCCCCAGCCCAGGUGCCGUCCUUGUUUCGCAAUGAUCGACUCCUUGUCUAUGGAUUCAUUCCUCACUGCACACAGGCAACUCUGUGUGCACUAAUUCAAGAGAAAGAAUUUUGUACAAUGGUGUCGACUACUGAGCUUCAGAAGACAACUGGAACUAUGAUCCACAAGCUGGCAGCCCGAGCUCUAAUCAGAGAUUAUGAAGAUGGCAUUCUUCACGAAAAUGAAACCAGUCAUGAGAUGAAAAAACAAACCUUGAAAUCUCUGAUUAUUAAACUCAGUAAAGAAAACUCUCUCAUAACACAAUUUACAAGCUUUGUGGCAGUUGAGAAAAGGGAUGAGAAUGAAUCGCCUUUCCCUGAUAUUCCAAAAGUUUCUGAACUUAUUGCCAAAGAAGAUGUAGACUUCCUGCCCUACAUGAGCUGGCAGGGGGAGCCCCAAGAAGCCGUCAGGAACCAGAGACUUCACAAUGUAUGAAUGGAGCUGUAUAGUACAAAAAGAGAACACCUCUGGCUGUGCUUCUAUCGUGGGCAAAUAGAUUGUCAUCCAGGAAGCUAAAGUCAUUUAGUCUCUUUUAGCAUCCUCUGAGUGGCCAGAAUUACGUUUAUCCAAACGAAAACGUAGGAAAAUUCCAUUUUCCAAAAGAAAAAUGGAAUUAUCUCAGCCAGAAGUUUCUGAAGAUUUUGAAGAGGAUGCCUUAGGUGUACUACCAGCUUUCACAUCAAAUUUGGAACGUGGAGGUGUGGAAAAGCUAUUGGAUUUAAGUUGGACAGAGUCAUGUAAACCAACAGCAACUGAACCACUAUUUAAGAAAGUCAGUCCAUGGGAAACAUCUACUUCUAGCUUUUUUCCUAUUUUGGCUCCGGCCGUUGGUUCCUAUCUUCCCCCGACUGCCCGCGCUCACAGUCCUGCUUCCUUGUCUUUUGCCUCAUAUCGUCAGGUAGCUAGUUUCGGUUCAGCUGCUCCUCCCAGACAGUUUGAUGCAUCUCAAUUCAGCCAAGGCCCUGUGCCUGGCAGUUGUGCUGACUGGAUCCCACAGUCGGCGUCUUGUCCCACAGGACCUCCCCAGAACCCACCUUCUGCACCCUAUUGUGGCAUUGUUUUUUCAGGGAGCUCAUUAAGCUCUGCACAGUCUGCUCCACCGCAACCUGCUGGAGGCCAUAUGACCAGGCCUUCUGCUGGCACCUUCCCUGAGCUGGAUUCUCCCCAGCUUCAUUUCUCUGUUCCUACAGACCCUGAUCCCAUUAGAGGUUUUGGGUCUUAUCAUCCCUCUGCUUCUUCUCCUUUUCAUUUUCAACCUUCCGCAGCCUCUUUGACUGCCAACCUUAGGCUGCCAAUGGCCUCUGCCUUACCUGAGGCUCUUUGCAGUCAGUCCCGGACUACCCCACUAGAUCUCUGUCUUCUAGAAGAAUCAGUAGGCAGUCUCGAAGGAAGUCGAUGUCCUGUCUUUGCUUUUCAAAGUUCUGACACAGAAAGUGAUGAGCUAUCAGAAGUACUUCAAGACAGCUGCUUUUUACAAAUAAAAUGUGAUACAAAAGAUGACAGUAUCCUGUGCUUUCUGGAAGUAAAAGAAGAGGAUGAAAUAGUGUGCACACAACACUGGCAGGAUGCUGUGCCUUGGACAGAACUCCUCAGUCUACAGACAGAGGAUGGCUUCUGGAAACUUACACCAGAACUGGGACUUAUAUUAAAUCUUAAUACAAAUGGUUUGCACAGCUUUCUUAAACAAAAAGGCAUUCAAUCUCUAGGUGUAAAAGGAAGAGAACGUCUCCUGGACAUAAUUGCCACAAUGCUGGUACUACAGUUUAUUCGCACCAGGUUGGAAAAAGAGGGAAUAGUGUUCAAAUCACUGAUGAAAAUGGAUGACCCUUCUAUUUCCAGGAAUAUUCCCUGGGCUUUUGAGGCAAUAAAGCAAGCAAGUGAAUGGGUAAGAAGAACUGAAGGACAGUACCCAUCUAUCUGCCCACGGCUUGAACUGGGGAAAGACUGGGACUCUGCCACCAAGCAGUUGCUGGGACUCCAGCCCAUAAGCACUGUGUCCCCUCUUCAUAGAGUCCUCCAUUACAGUCAAGGCUAAGUCAAAUGAAACUGAAUUUUAAACUUUUUGCAUGCUUCUAUGUAGAAAAUAAUAAAAUGAUAAUAGAUACUUAUAAUGAAACUUCAUUAAGGUUUCAUUCAGUGUAGCAAUUACUGUCUUUAAAAAUUAAGUGGAAGAAGAAAUACUUUAAUCAACUAACAAGCAAUAAUAAAAUGAAACUUAAAAUA
Molecule: RNA transcript, 5930 nt
Organism: Pan troglodytes (chimpanzee)
Lineage: Eukaryota; Metazoa; Chordata; Mammalia; Primates; Hominidae
Gene: PARP4
Gene name: poly(ADP-ribose) polymerase family member 4
Exons: 36
Source: RefSeq, a predicted model, not a curated record